RNAcentral lists this ribosomal RNA (497 nucleotides) under uncultured bacterium. RNAcentral describes it as "partial 16S ribosomal RNA". It matches the Rfam family "Bacterial small subunit ribosomal RNA", at positions 28 to 507 of the family's 1533-position model. The record is from RNAcentral.
GAUGAACGCUGGCGGCGUGCCUAAUACAUGCAAGCCGAGCGAACAGACGAGGAGCUUGCUCCUCUGACGUUAGCGGCGGACGGGUGAGUAACACGUGGAUAACCUACCUAUAAGACUGGGAUAACUUCGGGAAACCGGAGCUAAUACCGGAUAAUAUAUUGAACCGCAUGGUUCAAUAGUGAAAGACGGUUUUGCUGUCACUUAUAGAUGGAUCCGCGCCGCAUUAGCUAGUUGGUAAGGUGACGGCUUACCAAGGCAACGAUGCGUAGCCGACCUGAGAGGGUGAUCGGCCACACUGGAACUGAGACACGGUCCAGACUCCUACGGGAGGCAGCAGUAGGGAAUCUUCCGCAAUGGGCGAAAGCUUGACGGAGCAACGCCGCGUGAGUGAUGAAGGUCUUCGGAUCGUAAAACUCUGUUAUUAGGGAAGAACAAAUGUGUAAGUAACUAUGCACGUCUUGACGGUACCUAAUCAGAAAGCCACGGCUAACUACGUG